Molecule: ribosomal RNA, 510 nt
Filed under: uncultured Glomus
Lineage: Eukaryota; Fungi; Glomeromycota; Glomeromycetes; Glomerales; Glomeraceae
Description: SSU rRNA
Rfam family: Eukaryotic small subunit ribosomal RNA
Source: RNAcentral
AGCAGCCGCGGUAAUUCCAGCUCCAAUAGCAUAUAUUAAAGUUGUUGCAGUUAAAAAGCUCGUAGUUGAAUUUCGAGAUCAGUACGCUGGUCGUGCCUUCGGUAUGCACUGGUGUCACUGGUUUCUCCCUUCUGAAGAACCGUCAUGUCAUUAAGUUGGUGUGGCGGGGAAUCAGGACUGUUACUUUGAAAAAAUUAGAGUGUUUAAAGCAGGCUCGCGCUUGAAUACAUUAGCAUGGAAUAAUGAAAUAGGACGUUUGACCCUAUUUUGUUGGUUUCUAGGAUCGACGUAAUGAUUAAUAGGGAUAGUUGGGGGCAUUAGUAUUCAAUUGUCAGAGGUGAAAUUCUUGGAUUUAUUGAAGACUAACUACUGCGAAAGCGUUUGCCUAGGAUGUUUUCAUUAAUCAAGAACGAAAGUUAGGGGAUUGAAGACGAUCAGAUACCGUCGUAGUCUUAACCAUAAACUAUGCCGACUAGGGAUCGGAUGAUGUUAAUUUUUUAAUGUACUCAU